GGGAGAAGAACUGGUUCCUGAGCUAAGGAGUAGCACCUUGGACAGAGCAGUGCUGGGCAGGCUUUGGGAAGCAGAGCAGGACUUUGGCCCAGAUACCUGCCAGGCUGUGGCCCUUGCUAAGAGGGGUUGAGAAGAGACUCUCAUUAUAUAAAAGGCAUAUAUGAUGGCAUACUAUGAAAGUUUUAGUGGCAUGAAUUUGGGAUGGUCACAUUACUCAUGAGUGGACUCAAAAAUUGCACCCUUCCUGGCACAUCAGGCCAGUGAAAUUAUUUUGGUGAGGAAGGAGAAGUUCCAUAUUUGAUGGAGAGAGAAAUAUCGCUAUGAAUGUACAGCCUGCUAACAAAGAAGAGAGAGGAGUCAACAAUAUUGAUGGGCCAGAUGGUUGAGAGGGGCGUGGAGAAGUUGAGUGGCACCAACCUUAUUAUCAGAAUCACCCAGAUGGCAGAUUGACAAUCCUAAAGCAAAGCAUAUGCCCCAAGGACAAGAUAAAGAGUGGAGCCAGAGGGACGAGAUGAGAAACAGCUGUGGAUACUUCCAGUAGCAACACAAAAUAAUACUGAUUGGGAGCAACCUUGAUGACCUCGUAAUUAACAGCUCCGGUAUGACACAGCAAGGUCCAUAGACUUCUAUGGGAACAUAUUACUAUAAAAGAAGGGUGUAUUGUCAUAGGACUUAGCAUUCAUUCUUCAUCAACAUUGGAGCUUCGGGUGCAUCUGACAGAGACCCAGCUCCAGUUGCUCCCCCUCCCUCAUGUACAGUUUCAGCUGGCCACUGGAACUGACAGAGCAACACUAAGGACUGCCUGAGUCCCAUGGACAUGCAGCAGAGGAAAAAUGGCACCAUCCCUGAUGUCACACCCUGGUGAUACCUUCCAUUUGAACCGCCAAUGACUGACUAAGUUGAUGCAUUUCCUAUAAACUUCUUCCUCAAAAGAAUACAUGGGGCUAUUUUUCCACCUAGCCACCAUCCAAAUUCUAGGUGGUAAUUGUAUAAUGGGAGUACCUAGAGACCCCAAUCCAAUUUGGGGUCCCAUUGUGUCUGAACUAUAGAAACACAGUAAGAGACAGUCGCCUUGUAGAGCUCGGAAUCUAAAUAGUCAAAACAGAAAUGACAAAGGAUGGAGAGAAAUAGAGGCAAAGGGCCUUGUUUCUGGAGAUAGCAGGUCAGUGAGGGAGAGGGGAAAAUGACCCAGGUGACCUGGGUUGCUAUUCCAGUGCCCUACCAGUUAUAUCUCAGCUGAGUCCUUUUUCUUCCUUUCACAUGUGAUCAGAGACUGUGGGUCUCAAGUCUUGGUCCACCUUGUUCU
Long non-coding RNA from Chelonia mydas (Green sea turtle), 1306 nucleotides. RefSeq lists it as uncharacterized. The record is from RefSeq and is a predicted model, not a curated record. Lineage: Eukaryota; Metazoa; Chordata; Testudines; Cheloniidae. The transcript has 4 exons.